Molecule: ribosomal RNA, 2238 nt
Filed under: Salmonella enterica
Lineage: Bacteria; Pseudomonadati; Pseudomonadota; Gammaproteobacteria; Enterobacterales; Enterobacteriaceae
Also listed under: 1 other name
Description: partial 23S ribosomal RNA
Rfam family: Bacterial large subunit ribosomal RNA
Source: RNAcentral
GGUUUACCUGUGUGACUGCGUACCUUUUGUAUAAUGGGUCAGCGACUUAUAUUCUGUAGCAAGGUUAACCGAAUAGGGGAGCCGGAGGGAAACCGAGUCUUAAUUGGGCGUUAAGUUGCAGGGUAUAGACCCGAAACCCGGUGAUCUAGCCAUGGGCAGGUUGAAGGUUGGGUAACACUAACUGGAGGACCGAACCGACUAAUGUUGAAAAAUUAGCGGAUGACCUGUGGCUGGGGGUGAAAGGCCAAUCAAACCGGGAGAUAGCUGGUUCUCCCCGAAAGCUAUUUAGGUAGCGCCUCGUGAAUUCAUCUCCGGGGGUAGAGCACUGUUUCGGCUAGGGGGCCAUCCCGGCUUACCAACCCGAUGCAAACUGCGAAUACCGGAGAAUGUUAUCACGGGAGACACACGGCGGGUGCUAACGUCCGUCGUGAAGAGGGAAACAACCCAGACCGCCAGCUAAGGUCCCAAAGUCAUGGUUAAGUGGGAAACGAUGUGGGAAGGCCCAGACAGCCAGGAUGUUGGCUUAGAAGCAGCCAUCAUUUAAAGAAAGCGUAAUAGCUCACUGGUCGAGUCGGCCUGCGCGGAAGAUGUAACGGGGCUAAACCAUGCACCGAAGCUGCGGCAGCGACGCUUAUGCGUUGUUGGGUAGGGGAGCGUUCUGUAAGCCUGCGAAGGUGGCCUGUGAGGGUUGCUGGAGGUAUCAGAAGUGCGAAUGCUGACAUAAGUAACGAUAAAGCGGGUGAAAAGCCCGCUCGCCGGAAGACCAAGGGUUCCUGUCCAACGUUAAUCGGGGCAGGGUGAGUCGACCCCUAAGGCGAGGCCGAAAGGCGUAGUCGAUGGGAAACGGGUUAAUAUUCCCGUACUUGGUGUUACUGCGAAGGGGGGACGGAGAAGGCUAUGUUGGCCGGGCGACGGUUGUCCCGGUUUAAGCGUGUAGGUGUGUGUUCCAGGUAAAUCCGGUUCACUUUAACACUGAGGCGUGACGACGAGGCACUACGGUGCUGAAGCAACAAAUGCCCUGCUUCCAGGAAAAGCCUCUAAGCAUCAGGUAACAUCAAAUCGUACCCCAAACCGACACAGGUGGUCAGGUAGAGAAUACCAAGGCGCUUGAGAGAACUCGGGUGAAGGAACUAGGCAAAAUGGUGCCGUAACUUCGGGAGAAGGCACGCUGACACGUAGGUGAAGUGAUUUACUCAUGGAGCUGAAGUCAGUCGAAGAUACCAGCUGGCUGCAACUGUUUAUUAAAAACACAGCACUGUGCAAACACGAAAGUGGACGUAUACGGUGUGACGCCUGCCCGGUGCCGGAAGGUUAAUUGAUGGGGUCAGCGCAAGCGAAGCUCCUGAUCGAAGCCCCGGUAAACGGCGGCCGUAACUAUAACGGUCCUAAGGUAGCGAAAUUCCUUGUCGGGUAAGUUCCGACCUGCACGAAUGGCGUAAUGAUGGCCAGGCUGUCUCCACCCGAGACUCAGUGAAAUUGAACUCGCUGUGAAGAUGCAGUGUACCCGCGGCAAGACGGAAAGACCCCGUGAACCUUUACUAUAGCUUGACACUGAACAUUGAGCCUUGAUGUGUAGGAUAGGUGGGAGGCUUUGAAGUGUGGACGCCAGUCUGCAUGGAGCCGACCUUGAAAUACCACCCUUUAAUGUUUGAUGUUCUAACGUGGACCCGUUACCCGGGUUGCGGACAGUGUCUGGUGGGUAGUUUGACUGGGGCGGUCUCCUCCUAAAGAGUAACGGAGGAGCACGAAGGUUGGCUAAUCCUGGUCGGACAUCAGGAGGUUAGUGCAAUGGCAUAAGCCAGCUUGACUGCGAGCGUGACGGCGCGAGCAGGUGCGAAAGCAGGUCAUAGUGAUCCGGUGGUUCUGAAUGGAAGGGCCAUCGCUCAACGGAUAAAAGGUACUCCGGGGAUAACAGGCUGAUACCGCCCAAGAGUUCAUAUCGACGGCGGUGUUUGGCACCUCGAUGUCGGCUCAUCACAUCCUGGGGCUGAAGUAGGUCCCAAGGGUAUGGCUGUUCGCCAUUUAAAGUGGUACGCGAGCUGGGUUUAGAACGUCGUGAGACAGUUCGGUCCCUAUCUGCCGUGGGCGCUGGAGAACUGAGGGGGGCUGCUCCUAGUACGAGAGGACCGGAGUGGACGCAUCACUGGUGUUCGGGUUGUCAUGCCAAUGGCACUGCCCGGUAGCUAAAUGCGGAAGAGAUAAGUGCUGAAAGCAUCUAAGCACGAAACUUGCCCCGAG